UACGUAGGGUGCGAGCGUUGUCCGGAAUUACUGGGCGUAAAGAGCUCGUAGGUGGUUUGUCGCGUUGUUCGUGAAAACUCACAGCUCAACUGUGGGCGUGCGGGCGAUACGGGCAGACUGGAGUACUGCAGGGGAGACUGGAAGUUCCUGGUGUAGCGGUGGAAUGCGCAGAUAUCAGGAGGAACACCGGUGGCGAAGGCGGGUCUCUGGGCAGUAACUGACGCUGGAGGAGCGAAAAGCCGUGGGGAGCGAAACAGG
This 258-nucleotide ribosomal RNA is filed under the name uncultured bacterium. RNAcentral describes it as "partial 16S ribosomal RNA". It matches the Rfam family "Bacterial small subunit ribosomal RNA", at positions 524 to 776 of the family's 1533-position model. The record is from RNAcentral.